Molecule: ribosomal RNA, 253 nt
Filed under: uncultured bacterium
Lineage: Bacteria
Description: partial 16S ribosomal RNA
Rfam family: Bacterial small subunit ribosomal RNA
Source: RNAcentral
UACGUAGGGUGCAAGCGUUGUCCGGAAUUAUUGGGCGUAAAGAGCUCGUAGGCGGUCUGUCGCGUCGGCUGUGAAAACCCGAGGCUCAACCUCGGGCCUGCAGUCGAUACGGGCAAACUAGAGUACUGCAGGGGAGACUGGAAUUCCUGGUGUAGCGGUGAAAUGCGCAGAUAUCGAGAGGAGCACCAGUGGCGAAGGCGAGUCUCUGGACGACUCCUGACACUGAGGCACGAAAGCCGGGGGAGCAAACAGG